GGGUUCUGUCCGCGAAGGGAAUUUUCCGUUAGCGUUUUGCUGCUGCUGUGGCUGUUGCUGUUGCUGUUGCGGUUGCGGUUGCUGUUGUUGUUGCUGUUGCGGUUGCUGCUGCUGUUGCUGCUGCUGUUGAUGAUGCUGUUGAUUUUGAUGUUGCUGUUGAUUUUGAUGUUGCUGUUGAUUUUGAUGUUGCAGUUGUUGUUGCUGUUGCUGUUGCUGUUGCUGCUGCUGUUGCAGUUGUGGUUGCUGUUGCUGUUGCGGUUGCUGUUGUUGUUGUUGUUGUUGCUGCUGAUGUUGAUGUUGUUGAUGAUGUUGAUGUUGGUGUUGGUGUUGAUGAUGAUGGUGUUGCUGGUGCUGCUGAAGUUGUUGGUGGUGUUGUUGUUGUUGCUGUUGAUGUUGGUGUUGAUGUUGAGGGUGGAGAACCCGAGAUUGUGAAUUUUGAUUAUCUUGCGGCGAAGGUAGCAUGUGACUU
This 469-nucleotide unclassified non-coding RNA is filed under the name Athalia rosae (coleseed sawfly). Its description in RNAcentral is "misc RNA ENSAEAG00005003945.1". Lineage: Eukaryota; Metazoa; Arthropoda; Insecta; Hymenoptera; Athaliidae. The record is from RNAcentral.